GACGAACGCUGGCGGCGUGCUUAACACAUGCAAGUCGAGCGGUAAGGCUCCUUCGGGAGUACACGAGCGGCGAACGGGUGAGUAACACGUGAGCAAUCUGCCCUUCACUUCGGGAUAACUCCGGGAAACCGGUGCUAAUACCGAAUACGACCACUUCAGGCAUCUGAUGGUGGUGGAAAGUUCCGGCGGUGAAGGAUGAGCUCGCGGCCCAUCAGCUUGUUGGUGGGGUAACGGCCCACCAAGGCAACGACGGGUAGCCGGCCUGAGAGGGUGACCGGCCACACUGGGACUGGGACACGGCCCAGACUCCUACGGGAGGCAGCAGUGGGGAAUAUUGGACAAUGGGCGAAAGCCUGAUCCAGCAACGCCGCGUGAGGGAUGACUGCCUUCGGGUUGUAAACCUCUUUCAGCAGGGACGAAGCGCAAGUGACGGUACCUGCAGAAGAAGCACCGGCCAACUACGUGCCAGCAGCCGCCGUAA
RNAcentral lists this ribosomal RNA (481 nucleotides) under uncultured bacterium. Its description in RNAcentral is "partial 16S ribosomal RNA". It matches the Rfam family "Bacterial small subunit ribosomal RNA", at positions 28 to 523 of the family's 1533-position model. The record is from RNAcentral.